RNAcentral lists this ribosomal RNA (494 nucleotides) under uncultured bacterium. RNAcentral describes it as "partial 16S ribosomal RNA". It matches the Rfam family "Bacterial small subunit ribosomal RNA", at positions 29 to 507 of the family's 1533-position model. The record is from RNAcentral.
ACGAACGCUGGCGGCGUGCCUAAUACAUGCAAGUAGAACGCUGAAGGAGGAGCUUGCUUCUCUGGUUGAGUUGCGAACGGGUGAGUAACGCGUAGGUAACCUGCCUGGUAGCGGGGGAUAACUAUUGGAAACGAUAGCUAAUACCGCAUAAUAGUAGAUGUUGCAUGACAUUUGCUUAAAAGGUGCAAUUGCAUCACUACCAGAUGGACCUGCGUUGUAUUAGCUAGUUGGUGAGGUAACGGCUCACCAAGGCAACGAUACAUAGCCGACCUGAGAGGGUGAUCGGCCACACUGGGACUGAGACACGGCCCAGACUCCUACGGGAGGCAGCAGUAGGGAAUCUUCGGCAAUGGACGGAAGUCUGACCGAGCAACGCCGCGUGAGUGAAGAAGGUUUUCGGAUCGUAAAGCUCUGUUGUAAGAGAAGAACGAGUGUGAGAGUGGAAAGUUCACACUGUGACGGUAUCUUACCAGAAAGGGACGGCUAACUACGUG